MicroRNA precursor from Sorghum bicolor (sorghum), 109 nucleotides. It matches the Rfam family "MIR5565 microRNA precursor family". The record is from Rfam. NCBI's taxonomy places the organism in Eukaryota, Viridiplantae, Streptophyta, Magnoliopsida, Poales, Poaceae.
GUUGUCGGAUUCACUUCAAUCCAUGUGUGUUGGUGUGGAUUGGGGUGAAAUUUAGUUUGAGUUUCAUUCAAAUCCACCUCAACACAUGUGGAUUGAUGUGACUACAUCC